This 540-nucleotide ribosomal RNA is filed under the name Vibrio alginolyticus. Its description in RNAcentral is "bacterial SSU rRNA". It matches the Rfam family "Bacterial small subunit ribosomal RNA", at positions 35 to 554 of the family's 1533-position model. Lineage: Bacteria; Pseudomonadati; Pseudomonadota; Gammaproteobacteria; Vibrionales; Vibrionaceae. The record is from RNAcentral.
GCUGGCGGCAGGCCUAACACAUGCAAGUCGAGCGGAAACGAGUUAUCAGAACCUUCGGGGAACGAUAACGGCGUCGAGCGGCGGACGGGUGAGUAAUGCCUAGGAAAUUGCCCUGAUGUGGGGGAUAACCAUUGGAAACGAUGGCUAAUACCGCAUGAUGCCUACGGGCCAAAGAGGGGGACCUUCGGGCCUCUCGCGUCAGGAUAUGCCUAGGUGGGAUUAGCUAGUUGGUGAGGUAAGGGCUCACCAAGGCGACGAUCCCUACCUGGUCUGAAAGGAUGAUCAGCCACACUGGAACUGACACACGGUCCAGACUCCUACGGGAGGCAGCACUGGGGAAUAUUGCACAAUGGGCGCAAGCCUGAUGCAGCCAUGCCGCCUGUGUGAAGAAGGCCUUCCCGUUGUUUAACACUUUCAGUCGUGAGGAAGGUNGUGUAGUUAAUAGCUGCAUUAUUUGACGUUAGCGACAGAAGAAGCACCGGCUAACUCCGUGCCAGCAGCCGCGGUAAUACGGAGGGUGCGAGCGUUAAUCGGAAUUAC